GUCUGAUCACUGAAGUCAAGCAGGGUCGGGCCAUGUCAGUACUUGGAUGGGUGACUGCCUAGGAACACAUGGUGUUGUAGGCU
RNAcentral lists this ribosomal RNA (83 nucleotides) under Herbaspirillum sp. The record is from RNAcentral. Lineage: Bacteria; Pseudomonadati; Pseudomonadota; Betaproteobacteria; Burkholderiales; Oxalobacteraceae.